RNAcentral lists this ribosomal RNA (430 nucleotides) under Pseudomonadota bacterium. Its description in RNAcentral is "Proteobacteria bacterium partial 16S ribosomal RNA". It matches the Rfam family "Bacterial small subunit ribosomal RNA", at positions 355 to 776 of the family's 1533-position model. Lineage: Bacteria; Pseudomonadati; Pseudomonadota. The record is from RNAcentral.
UGGGGAAUAUUGGACAAUGGGGGGAACCCUGAUCCAGCCAUGCCGCGUGUGUGAAGAAGGCCUUAUGGUUGUAAAGCACUUUAAGCGAGGAGGAGGGUACUGGUAUUAAUACUACCAGGUACUGGACGAUACUCGCAGAAUAAGCACAGGCUAACUCUGUGCAAGCAGACGCGGGAAUACAGAGGGUGCAAGCGUUAAUCGGAAUUACUGGGCGUAAAGCGCGCGUAGGUGGGUCGUUAAGUUGAAUGGGAAAGCCCCGGGCUCAACCAGGGAACUGCGUCCCAAAAUGGCGAGCUAGAGUAGGGCAGAGGGUGGUGGAAUUUCCUGUGUAGCGGUGAAAUGCGUGGAUAUAGGAAGGAACACCAGUGGCGAAGGCGACCACCUGGGCUCAUACUGACACUGAGGUGCGAAAGCGUGGGGAGCAAACAGG